UUUUUUUUCUUUUGUCACAUUUAUUUCUAACAAUAUUUGACCAAUACCAGAUUUAACAAAACCAAAGAUGUAACAUUAUAUCUAAUGUUUGGUGCAAAAGAUCUAGUCUAUUUCUACCUGAAUUGAAAGGUAAAGUACACUGUUCAUGUCAAGCAAGGCUGAGAUACAACCCCUCAGGAAGCACAAGCAGACUCCUGGUAUUUGUUUAGAGCUCUGAUAAGCACACCUUCUGCCCUUACUUUGCUUUUCUGCUUCUCUAUUUUAUUUUAUUUUUUUCUGCUUCUCUAUUUUAAAGGUCACACAAGUUUUGACUCAAAAUGGUUCAUCUUAUUUCUCAUUUUGGACAUUCAAGUGUGUCUUCCAAGAAUCAAUGUAUACUGCCCCCAUGGAUAAUCCUUGGGCACACACAGACAUCUGGUACUCCUAUGUACUGUGUGGCUCAGUCCAUGGCCAUGGAAACGUUUUGCAGGGUACCAUAGGCAAAAGUCAUCUCCACCUUCACAACUAACAUUUCAAUUAACAAAAGCAAGUUUGGUAUCUUUUGAAUCAUGACUUAUGGGUCUAGGAUUGAGGUUUAUAGCACCCAUUUACCAUAAAAAAAUAAAUAUGAUCAAUUUGACAUAAAACAAAAAGAGAAACUAGAAAAUUCAGAUCUAUUAAAGCACUUCAGAGAAUUCCAUGACAAGAAGUAAUAGGGAACAUAUUCAACAGACAAAAUAAAUGAAAUAAUUAAUUAAAGAAAUUUAUGGGGAAAUGAUGCAAGGAAUGAUAGUAUGCUCAACCACAUUAGAUCUAGAUUAAAGGGAUCAGAUAAAACCCCCAAUCAGAGGACCUAACUUGUCCUAAUACCCAUUUUAGAUAAAGAAACGGCCUGGUAAUUAAACUGAGUUUUUAUUCCAAGAUUUAUUUAUCAGAUACAGUAAUCAUACCCAGGAAGUUACUUGGAUAAAUGCAGGGAACCGUUGUGGCCAUUCUAAGCAAAUGGCACCCACUACUUAUUAAAUUUCUAUCUCAUCUCACAAAAAGCAAUGGGAUGUCCUGUUGCAAGCACAGUACUUUCUUGGGUCUCACUGGAAUACAUUGCACCAGUGAUGAAGAACAUAUAUGUAACCUAAAGGGCCAGAAUCAGCUGAUUUGUCAGGUAGGAGACAAAUACUUGAUAAUCACCUAACCAAACUGAAUCUACAGAAGGACAUGCUUUCCUACUGGGUACUGGCUAUGCAGACUGUCCACAAUGUCUGAGGGUAUCAUUUUGUCAUAACAUGAUGUCAAAUGAGUGAUUAGAACAGUCUCCAUUGCUACAUAGGUAGAGCCCACUCACAUGUGGCAGCCACUUCCUCCUGGAUUGUAUUUAAACUCUCUUUAGAUUGUACUUUCCCCAUCCAUCUUCUUAUCCUUGGGUUUUUCAUAGCAGUGAGUUCUUGCCAGUCAGGAGCAAAGUUUUGAAUUGAAUGUCAUGGCCAUAAAAUCAAACAAAACCAUUCACACUACCAGAACAUUAAGAAAGAAAAAUAUAUUAAGAUUAUAGCUUACCCUCAGAGGGUUGACAUAUUUAAGUCAAUACUUUAUCACUAUAGUUAAUUUUAAGACAAGAAAUGGAAGGAAAGAAAAUAUUAGAGGGAUCCCUGGGUGGCGCAGCGGUUUGGCGCCUGCCUUUGGCCCAGGGGCGAUCCUGGAGACCCGGGAUGGAAUCCCACAUCGGGCUCCCGGUGCAUGGAGCCUGCUUCUCCCUCUGCUGUGUCUCUGCCUCUCUCUCUCUCUGUGACUAUCAUAAAUAAAUAAAAAUUAAAAAAAUUAAAAAAAAGAAAAUAUUAGGAUAUAUAGAUAAUCACAAAAAGCAACUAGAAUUAAUGUGCGGUUGCUUCAGUCUCUUUUCUUCCAGAGCUCUUACAAAAUUUGCUGAUUAGAUGCUCUUAAAUUUAGUGUCUGUUUUCUUUAGGCAUUUAGUGAAAAAAAAAAAAAAAAAAGCAAAACUUAGAUAACCAAGAAUCAAGCAGUAGGAUGAAAAUGAGGAAAAUUGAUCAAGACCAGUUAGCCUAUAAAUGAGAUAAUUUUCCAUUAAAUAAAUAUACACUGUGAUACUUCAUCUUCUUGUUAACACUAAAAUACCAGUAACAUGCCAGUCUGGGGGAAAAGUAGCUAUAAAUAAAAUCUUUUAUGGUAACCCUUUCUUUGGUUAAUCAUUACUUUAUAAAAAUUAAUCCAAGGAUAUUCCUUAAGUAUCACUUUGUUUUAUGUUUGUUUCUAUAGAACUCUUCCUUUUAGAACUUUUACUUUGGAUUUAGAUGAAGACGUUGAUGUCAGGCUAAUGCAUACAUUUUUUACCUUUGACACAAAAUUGGAGGAAUAGCAAAUUCAUCAAUGGGAAAAUUAUCCAAGUCCAUGUCUACUGGAAUGAGUCCUACAUAAAAGAAAUGCAUUGAACAGGAAUCAUGGUAAGUGGCUCUAUGAGGCCCCUAAACCCUAAUGCACAGAAGGGCUGGAGAGAAGAGUAACAAGUCGCACAUGGGAGAAUGUGGGAUGUAGUCAGCUGCAAUUCUAGGUCCACAUUGUGAUGUGGCCAUAGUGCUAAUGUGAUUAUGGGGUAUACAGAGAAAAAUAUUGCAGUCAGAAGAGGAAACUUGGAAGAACCUAUUCUAUAGCACUCAUCCUGGAUUAGUCCACCCCAGGAACAUGGUGCUCACCUACAGAUGGCCUAUUUUAAGCAGUAUUUAAGGACCAUAGAUAAGCUUAAGGGGCAGAUGGGAAGAGGGUAUAAAUUGGAGAGUUUGUGUUUUCAAUCUGAAAAGGUGAAAGUGAGGGGGCAAACUAGUAGUAACUCAAACAUUGAAGGAUCAGCACAUGGAAAAUUGAUGAGGUGAUUUAUGUAUGAAUCCAUAAGAAAGAAUGAUGCCCCAAAGUAGAAGUUCCAGGAAGGCAGAUUGAAGCUUGAGUGCAGAAGUUUCACUUAUUAACUUAAACCCAAUGCCAUUGGGUUUUCAUCCUCCUGGGUGAGGAUGGGCAUCUUAUCAAAUGUGAUUCAAACGUCAUAUGAAAGUUUGAGUUAGAUGACCAUUAAAUCUCUUUCAACUCUAAAAUUUGAUAACUCUUUUAUCAGUUUCUAAAAGGUGAUUAUUAUUAUGAUUACACCUCAUACUUACUGCUAUUUUAUGUGAAUUUACCUAUUUUUCUCAAAACAACUCCCAGAAAAGGGAUCUUAAGUUUAGUACCUACGCAAUGUUAAUAACUUUAUGAGAUCAUGACUUUUCCCAAAGACUAGCCACUAAAAGGGUGCUCCAGAAAUCAAAUUUUGAAAAUUCAGUUUUAAAACUCAUGCCACAUAGGCUUUAAAAAGAAAUACACAAUGGGGGAUGCCUGGGUGGCUUCAGCGGUUGAGCCUUUGGCUCAGCAUGUGAUCUCAGGAUCCGGGAUUGAGUCCUGCAUCAGGGUUCCUGUGAGUAGCCUUCUUCUCUCUCUGCCUAUGUAUUUGCCUCUCUCUCUGUAUCUCUCAUGAAUAAAUAAAUAAAAUCUUAAAAAAAAGCCCACAAUGCACAGGGGUACCUGGGGGCCUCAGUUGAUUAAGCAUCUGCCUUCGUCUCAGAUCACAAUCUCAGGGUCCUGGGACUUAGCCCCAAGUUGGGCUCUCUGCUCAACAAGGAAUCUGCUUCUUGUUCUCUCUCAAAUUAAUAAAUAUAAUCUUAAAAAUAAUAUGAAAUGGGUAUUACCAUAAACAGGAUAAUUUAAUUCAUAUUAACAGAAUUAAUAUGAAGCAUUGACAUUUGAACUAUUUGCCUAUUGUAUUUUUAUUACCGAACUUACUAUUGAUUCCAUUUUGAGAAUUAUGAAGCUUGACUGAAGCAGAUAAAAACUCCUAUUUUGAGGUUCUGGUCUACGGGUGACAUACAGGCCAUACAGCUAGUUAAAAAUACAGUUUCAGGCUUUCCUUUGGACCUGCUGAAUCUGAAUCUCCAUUUAACAAAAUCCUAGGAUGAUUCAUAUGAAAUAAAGUUGGAAAAAAAAAGUUGGAGAAGCAAUGAUUUAUUAUACACUCAUCAAAAACCUUAGAAGUACCCUUCAUUAAAAUAAUAACUCUGAAACUGUAGUUUACCAAAACUGUCUAAUUUAAGUAUGGAAAUACACAAAGCUGAUGAUUUCCUAAACUUAGAAAAUAAAUGUGCUGGCUGUGCAAUUCAGUUGUCACAUGAAUUGGAAGAGGAAUCCAGACCACAUAAUGCUGGAAAGCUACAGAGUUAUGAAACAGUUAUGUAUACGGUUUAAAUGAAGAAGCUGUAAGUAUAUGGUAAACAGAUGAACUUGUAUCAUUGAAAUUUACAUAGGUAUUCACUUCUCAAGAUUGCAGGUUAUAUAAUGGUAACUUUUUUAUUCUUACAUAACUUCCUGUAUAUUUCAUAAGUAUCUAGUCCCAGAAGAGUCUGUGUGCUUGGGAACAAUAUCUAUUGUUAGAAU
RNAcentral lists this long non-coding RNA (4446 nucleotides) under Canis lupus familiaris (dog). Its description in RNAcentral is "lncRNA (ENSCAFG00000051881.1)". The record is from RNAcentral. Lineage: Eukaryota; Metazoa; Chordata; Mammalia; Carnivora; Canidae.